GAUGAACGCUGGCGGCGUGCUUAACACAUGCAAGUCGAACGGAAAGGCCCAAGCUUGCUUGGGUACUCGAGUGGCGAACGGGUGAGUAACACGUGGGUGAUCUGCCCUGCACUUCGGGAUAAGCCUGGGAAACUGGGUCUAAUACCGGAUAGGACCACAUUUUGGAUGGUGUGGUGGAAAGUUUUUCGGUGUGGGAUGAGCUCGCGGCCUAUCAGCUUGUUGGUGGGGUAAUGGCCUGCCAAGGCGUCGACGGGUAGCCGGCCUGGGAGGGUGUACGGCCACAUUGGGACUGAGAUACGGCCCAGACUCCUACGGGAGGCAGCAGUGGGGAAUAUUGCACAAUGGGCGCAAGCCUGAUGCAGCGACGCCGCGUGGGGGAUGACGGCCUUCGGGUUGUAAACUCCUUUCGCUAGGGACGAAGCGUUAUGUGACGGUACCUGGAGAAGAAGCACCGGCUAACUACGUG
This 466-nucleotide ribosomal RNA is filed under the name uncultured bacterium. Its description in RNAcentral is "partial 16S ribosomal RNA". It matches the Rfam family "Bacterial small subunit ribosomal RNA", at positions 28 to 507 of the family's 1533-position model. The record is from RNAcentral.